GACGAACGCUGGCGGCGUGCUUAACACAUGCAAGUCGAACGGAAAGGCCCUGCUUGCCGGGUACUCGAGUGGCGAACGGGUGAGUAACACGUGGGUGAUCUGCCCUGCACUUCGGGAUAAGCCUGGGAAACUGGGUCUAAUACCGGAUAGGAGCCAUUUUUAGUGUGAUGGUUGGAAAGUUUUUUCGGUGUAGGAUGAGCUCGCGGCCUAUCAGCUUGUUGGUGGGGUAAUGGCCUACCAAGGCGGCGACGGGUAGCCGGCCUGAGAGGGUGGACGGCCACAUUGGGACUGAGAUACGGCCCAGACUCCUACGGGAGGCAGAAGUGGGGAAUAUUGCACAAUGGGCGCAAGCCUGAUGCAGCGACGCCGCGGGGGGGAUGACGGCCUUCGGGUUGUAAACUCCUUUCGCUAGGGACGAAGCUUUUUGUGACGGUACCUAGAUAAGAAGCACCGGCUAACUACGUG
This 465-nucleotide ribosomal RNA is filed under the name uncultured bacterium. Its description in RNAcentral is "partial 16S ribosomal RNA". It matches the Rfam family "Bacterial small subunit ribosomal RNA", at positions 28 to 507 of the family's 1533-position model. The record is from RNAcentral.